GCUGGGUGUGGUGGCAUAUGCCUGUAAUUCCAGUGACUCAGGAGGCUGAGGCAGGAGGAUCACAAGUUCAAGGCCAGCCUGGACAACUUACUGAGACCCUGUCUCAA
This 107-nucleotide small RNA is filed under the name Marmota monax (woodchuck). The record is from RNAcentral. Lineage: Eukaryota; Metazoa; Chordata; Mammalia; Rodentia; Sciuridae.